RNAcentral lists this small nuclear RNA (81 nucleotides) under Mustela putorius furo (domestic ferret). RNAcentral describes it as "U4 spliceosomal RNA". It matches the Rfam family "U4 spliceosomal RNA", at positions 1 to 78 of the family's 138-position model. From Rfam's summary of the family: U4 small nuclear RNA (U4 snRNA) is a component of the major U2-dependent spliceosome. The structure of U4 snRNA from yeast and human has been reported. U4 snRNA presents a k-turn RNA motif in the 5p-SL related to recognition of Snu13 protein. The record is from Rfam by way of RNAcentral. Lineage: Eukaryota; Metazoa; Chordata; Mammalia; Carnivora; Mustelidae.
AGCUUUGCGCAGUGGCAGUAUCGUAGCCAAUGAGGUUUAUCCAAGGCGCGAUUAUUGCUAAUUGAAAGAUUUAAAGACAAA